This is a long non-coding RNA of Ictalurus punctatus (channel catfish), 951 nucleotides long. Lineage: Eukaryota; Metazoa; Chordata; Actinopteri; Siluriformes; Ictaluridae. The record is from Ensembl.
AGAAGCUGACGGAAGGUGAGCUGCAUGAUGGCAUGCUGAUCGCCGAUCAGAAGGUACUACACUGAAAUACUCCACCCCGGUCAGAGUAACUCUUCUGCACUGGAGCUUUGUAGAUAGAAGUUGUUUUAGUUUGAGAUGGCGUCGUCACCCUCAGGUUCGAGUUUAAUGCAGAAGAAGCGUUACAGGAACUUGUCAUUAAUGUCUCACUGUGACCCGAAAGCUGCUUGUUGGAUGUUUAAUGUAAGAUUAGAAAGUUCAGCUGGUUUAUCUCCUCUCAGGUGUGUGUAAAACAGAACCUGGCUGUGUCCUUGCAGCGUGUGAUUUCUAUUUCGUCUGUGUUUUCAGAAGGAGGUGGAAGAGAGGUGGUGGUGGUGUUGUUGUUGUUGUUGUUGUUGUUGUUGUAGUCAUUGUUGCUUUUGUUAAAUAAAUGGAUUCUUUAAAUAACCAACACCUGCCUGACUGUACGAGUUAUUUACAUGAACCAGCCGCAGGAACGUCUUGCUAUAAGGGAUGUGAACGUGAUAAUAUCUUUUUGUACACAGCGUAAUGGAACUGAGGCAUCAGGAAUCCCAAAUAGAGCAAACAAUGGGCAAGGUUUUAAAUCUACUCUGAGAACAGUGGACAUGAUGGUAAAGAAACCAGUCCAAAAACCAUGGAGAUCAGGGCAAAAGAAAAACAUAUGGCCAAGAUAACAGGGAGAGCCAUGGCAUUUAUCAGACUUGUCCUCUACUUCUGGAUAUAUUACAGAAAGUCUCGACUUAGACAAAUGGACUCUGUGUAAAACUUUGAACUGGAUGAGUCCAAGACGAGCACAGGAAGUGGUAGACUGUACCCUACCUAUAGCACGUUCCCAACACUCUUAAUUCAUCUGUACUCCUAACUCCAUUUCCCACACAUUCUUAAUUUUGGUACUCACCUCACUACCUAACACCAGAAUUAAAUCAUAAAUCU